Molecule: transfer-messenger RNA, 367 nt
Filed under: Bacteroidia
Lineage: Bacteria; Pseudomonadati; Bacteroidota
Also listed under: 1 other name
Description: JABEUT01 sp013044305 Standard tmRNA
Rfam family: transfer-messenger RNA
About the family: Bacterial tmRNA, also known as 10Sa RNA or SsrA, is named for its dual tRNA and mRNA-like properties.
Source: RNAcentral
GGGGCCGACAGGUUUUGACAGCAGGCAGAAAGAGCGAGUAAGCAUGCCGAGCGUCGUGAAUGUGGCUCGUUAAUACCAGUUCUCAACAUCUAAAAGGCGAAUCUAAUUACGCUUUGGCUGCUUAAUCCUUAAGGAUUAACCGGCCAUGUUUCCCGGGAAGCCACUCCUGCCGGCGUCCCGACCGAAGCAUCGAAAAUGGCGGGAUAGCUCCGGAUACGUUCCGGAUACGGGGCAAAACUAAAGGAACUAAGUUGGCAAUAGCCCUGUCUUAUGGCAGUUGCCUCCCUACAACCAAAUAAGACUAAGCACGUAGAAAGCCCGUUGUUUCCUUGUUUGGACGAGGGUUCGAAUCCCUCCGGCUCCACUG